CCUACGGGGGGCUGCAGUGGGGAAUAUUGGACAAUGGGCGAAAGCCUGAUCCAGCAAUGCCGCGUGAGUGAUGAAGGCCUUAGGGUUGUAAAGCUCUUUUACCAGGGAUGAUAAUGACAGUACCUGGAGAAUAAGCUCCGGCUAACUCCGUGCCAGCAGCCGCGGUAAUACGGAGGGAGCUAGCGUUGUUCGGAAUUACUGGGCGUAAAGCGCACGUAGGCGGUUUUUCAAGUCAGGGGUGAAAGCCCGGAGCUCAACUCCGGAAUUGCCCUUGAAACUGGAUGACUAGAAUCUUGGAGAGGUCAGUGGAAUUCCGAGUGUAGAGGUGAAAUUCGUAGAUAUUCGGAAGAACACCAGUGGCGAAGGCGACUGACUGGACAAGUAUUGACGCUGAGGUGCGAAAGCGUGGGGAGCAAACAGGAUUAGAUACCCUAGUAGUC
This 440-nucleotide ribosomal RNA is filed under the name uncultured bacterium. Its description in RNAcentral is "partial 16S ribosomal RNA". It matches the Rfam family "Bacterial small subunit ribosomal RNA", at positions 338 to 795 of the family's 1533-position model. The record is from RNAcentral.